RNAcentral lists this ribosomal RNA (497 nucleotides) under uncultured bacterium. Its description in RNAcentral is "partial 16S ribosomal RNA". It matches the Rfam family "Bacterial small subunit ribosomal RNA", at positions 28 to 507 of the family's 1533-position model. The record is from RNAcentral.
GAUGAACGCUGGCGGCGUGCCUAAUACAUGCAAGUCGAGCGAACGGACGAGAAGCUUGCUUCUCUGAUGUUAGCGGCGGACGGGUGAGUAACACGUGGAUAACCUACCUAUAAGACUGGGAUAACUUCGGGAAACCGGAGCUAAUACCGGAUAAUAUUUUGAACCGCAUGGUUCAAAAGUGAAAGACGGUCUUGCUGUCACUUAUAGAUGGAUCCGCGCUGCAUUAGCUAGUUGGUAAGGUAACGGCUUACCAAGGCAACGAUGCAUAGCCGACCUGAGAGGCUGAUCGGCCACACUGGAACGGAGACACGGUCCAGACGCCUACGGGAGGCAGCAGUAGGGAACCUUCCGCAAUGGGCGAAAGCCUGACGGAGCAACGCCGCGUGAGUGAUGAAGGUCUUCGGAUCGUAAAACUCUGUUAUUAGGGAAGAACAUAUGUGUAAGUAACUGUGCACAUCUUGACGGUACCUAAUCAGAAAGCCACGGCUAACUACGUG